GACGAACGCUGGCGGCGUGCUUAACACAUGCAAGUCGAACGGAAAGGCGCUGCUUUUGUGGGGUGCUCGAGUGGCGAACGGGUGAGUAACACGUGAGUAACCUGCCCUUGACUUUGGGAUAACUUCAGGAAACUGAGGCUAAUACCGGAUAGGAGCUCCUGCUGCAUGGUGGGGGUUGGAAAGUUUCGGCGGUUGGGGAUGGACUCGCGGCUUAUCAGCUUGUUGGUGGGGUAGUGGCUUACCAAGGCUUUGACGGGUAGCCGGCCUGGGAGGGUGAACGGGGCCAAUGGGACUGCGGGAGGCAGCAGUGGGGAACGGGAGACAGUAGUCGGAAAUCUUGUACAACGGGCGGAAGUCUGAUGCAGCAACGUCGCGUGUGUGAUGUCGGUUUUCAGGGUGUAAAACGCUUUCGCCUGUGACGAAGCGUGAGUGACGGUACUGGAUAAAGAAGCACCGGCUAACUACGUG
Molecule: ribosomal RNA, 468 nt
Filed under: uncultured bacterium
Lineage: Bacteria
Description: partial 16S ribosomal RNA
Rfam family: Bacterial small subunit ribosomal RNA
Source: RNAcentral